GGUGAUGCGUGGACGUAGAAGCGUGGACGGAGAUGAGUGUAAAAAUUCUAGAAGUUUCAUCAGAGCAAACUCCACAAUAGCUGAGCUUAAUGACACAACCCCAACAAGAAUGUUUGUCUGUGGACAGGAAAUAAGAUUUUGAUUAUGUUGUGGAUAUGGACACUAACAUAACCAUGAAUAAAGAACAAGAAAGAUCUCUUAAAUUUGUGGAUAGAAAAUUGAAGCUUGAUGUGGUGGAUAGAGUAGUAACUCAAACACUAAACAUUGAUUAAAAAAAAUAUAACAUAUUGAAAGGCUAUGAUAUGGAUGUCAAUGUGUCCACAAUAUCAAAGAUGAACAAAUUAAUAACUUCAAACCAAUUACGACCACAUACAUGUCUAGGAAAAAAAAAACAAGGUUGAGUGAUGAAAACAAAGCUAAACAAACCAAAAAGUUAAAACGAAUCAGCUCCUCCUCCAAAACCAUCGGUCAAAACGAGUCAGCUGCUCUUCCCGGUGAGCCAAACCAUUGAUUCCGAGCUCAACAUCGUCGUGGAUGAGCUCGGUGAAGCUUCAUUGGUUCGAGCUCGUCACAAUCCUCCACCAUGAGAUAUGUAGUAUGCUAAAUUAUGAUUUUUAAUCAUAAUUUUACUCAUCCACAAAUAGCCGUCCAUAUUUACUCAUCUAUGCUUACCCGUCCACACUAUCUUCCCACACUCAUCCACAUGUGUGUUUCCAUGCUUAUAUUCUACACUAGGAGGGUGUCCGCGCUUCGCGCGGAAUAUUGUUUUAUUAUUGAUAAAAAAAUGAUUUUUUGGAUAAUG
RNAcentral lists this long non-coding RNA (802 nucleotides) under Brassica napus (rape). RNAcentral describes it as "long non-coding RNA (BNAP_LNC011398)". The record is from RNAcentral. Lineage: Eukaryota; Viridiplantae; Streptophyta; Magnoliopsida; Brassicales; Brassicaceae.